CAUUGAUUCUGGAGGGAAUUGUGCAAACGAAAAACAACAACAUUCCUAUCAUCGAUGCAGAUAUUAUCAAAAUGAUUUAAUAACAGUCAAAUGAUCAGAUUUGAUUUCUUCUCCAUAAGGCAGCAGUGACUCAUUAGUAAACAGGACUGUAAACACUAAUGCAUGGCUUUUCUUUAGUGCAAAUGUGUGUUGGGCUGGGCAGUAGCAGUGUGUUGGGCUGGGCAGUACAGUAGCAGUGUGUUGGGCUGUACAUAGUGUGUGUGUUGGGCAGUACAGUAGCAGUGUGUUGGGCAGUACAGUAGCAGUUGUUUGGGCUGGGCAGUAGCAGUGUGUUGGGCUGGGCAGUAGCAGUGUGUUGGGCUGGGCAGUAGCAGUGUGUUGGGCUGGGCAGUACAGUAGCAGUGUGUUGGGCUGGGCAGUACAGUAGCAGUGUGUUGGGCUGGGCUGUAGCAGUGUGUUGGGCUGGGCAGUACAGUAGCAGUGUGUUGGGCUGGGCUGUACAGUAGCAGUGUGUUGGGCUGUACAGUGCAGUGUGUUGGGCUGGGCAGUAGCAGUGUGUUGGGCUGGGCAGUAGCAGUGUGUUGGGCUGGGCAGUACAGUAGCAGUGUGUUGGGCUGGGCAGUACAGUAGCAGUGUGUUGGGCUGGGCAGUAGCAGUGUGUUGGGCAGUACAGUAGCAGUGUGUUGGGCUGGGCUGUACAGUAGCAGUGUGUUGGGCUGGGCAGU
Molecule: long non-coding RNA, 725 nt
Organism: Oncorhynchus tshawytscha (Chinook salmon)
Lineage: Eukaryota; Metazoa; Chordata; Actinopteri; Salmoniformes; Salmonidae
Source: Ensembl